This is a long non-coding RNA of Prosopis cineraria, 14754 nucleotides long. RefSeq lists it as uncharacterized. The record is from RefSeq and is a predicted model, not a curated record. NCBI's taxonomy places the organism in Eukaryota, Viridiplantae, Streptophyta, Magnoliopsida, Fabales, Fabaceae. The transcript has 2 exons.
GUUAGUUCAGACCAGUUGUGAAGCUGAAGAGGCAGAGGCGGUAGGCGGAAGAUUCAGACUUGAGAGAAGCGAAGCAAAUAGAUUCAUUCUCAAGGCCCUCGAGUGGAUCAUGGUCUCAGUUUAACACAGCGGAUUUCACAGACCAGCUCAAGACACAGCUUGCUCAGGCCUAUGCCGAAGAAUUCCUCGAGGUGCCGGGCAUCAUUUUGUGGCAUGUUUGAUGAAAUUGUUUAAAGGCUUUUCCUGGACAAAAUGGAAGCAUAAAGUGCAGCUAUUUACUCCCAUGUAUUCGGCUUCCUCCUUAUUAGAGUUUAUGCAUUUCAUGGAGCCACCCUGAUCAGGUUGUGUCUCUCCAACUUAAACUCUACAUUUAUUGAUCUUCUUGCGUCUCUCCAAUUGGAAGGAAUAUUGAGCCUUCAUGCCUAUUCUUCGUUGAAAUUCUAUGUGAUGCCACUUGCAUUUGCUAGCCCUCUAGAACUUGUCUUUAUUCUUGUUGAGGCUACACUUUGCAUAUUUCAAUUGGAAAAUGAUUCAGGCAUUCAUAAAAAUUGCCAGUCUCACUUAAAAGGCCAGCCUAGAUAUUAUAUCCUUUCCUUACCCUUUGAGCCUAACUAUUUGUAUUUCUAUUCCAUUCCAUUCCAUCCAUAUUCCAUUCGAAUUUCAUUAUAGAUGCAACUCAACAUGAUCCCAUUACAUUGUAGACACGUGGCUUGAUUUCAUUUAGAAAAUGCAUGUGCUUUGUUAUCAUUCUAGCUUGCAAUUAAUGUCCGUGAUUGGUUACAUGCUCUGGAUGCCUAAUUGCAGCUGCACCAUUGUGAUUACCAUUCUGAAUUGUUGGAUUUACUUGGAGGUUUAAAAAAAUGGAAAAAGAGAAAAAAGAAAAGCAUAAAAAAAAAGAAAGUGAAAAGGAGAGAGAUGAAGAAAAGAAAACAAAUUAUACCAGAAAAAUAAAAAAGAAUAGAAGAAAAGAAGUGACAAAUAGAAAAAAAAAAGAGAAACAGAAAUAGAAAAGAAAAAUAGAGAAAAGAAAAAGAAAGAAGGAAUAAAAGUGAAUUCAAAUUCUUUGUAUUGAGUUUUGCACUGCUAGUUGUUAUGGAUUGUCACUAUUGUAAUUGCAUUUACUACUUGAAAUUGGUUCAUGUGUUUACUUUGUGAGGGAUCAAACACAUUUAUCUACCUUGACAUCAUACUCCAUUUUCAUCCAUAUUUUAAGUCUGUCAUAAUCAUUUUUUCUGAAAAGACCUGAUGAUUCUGGUUGUGCAUGCUAUUUAGUAGUGGAGAUUUUAGAAUUUUGACAAGCUUAUGGUAGUGCUGCAUUGCAAGUGGUUGAGUGAAAAUGACCCAAUGCACUUUCGUGAGUUGAGUGAAACACUUAAUCGUUGUGUGGCUAUCUGUUUGUUUCAUGCCUUUUAGAUUUUGAAUCUUUGAUUGCUCUUGUUUGUAAGUGUGGUGGAUGUUUGAUCAUAAUAAGUUGACGUGGUAGAUUGAAUUGAGCUGGCAAUGAUCACUCUUGUUUUCUAUUUCUGUUUUGUUUUUGGGAAAUUGAUUUUGGCUAACUUUUACUCAGGAGUGCAAAAGGGUAAGUGUAAGGGAAUUUGAUAAACCAAAAUUGUUGCAUAUUUUUAUUCUUCUUUUGCAUGAUUAUUAGCACUCAUUUAAAUAUUUUUGAACAUAUUUGGUGAUUUUUGAUCAUUUGGGCAUUUUUAGUAAUUAUGGGAAAUUUGUGUCAAAAGUACAAUUUUCUAGAGUUUGGGUCAAUUAGUCAUUUCCCUAUUUCUUUUCCAAUUUAAUUUUGAAGUUGCCAACUCAUUAAAUCCUAUCAUUCAUUCUCAUAUUUUCCAGUUUGCAUUCUAGUAUUUUCAUAGCAUUUUUCGGAUAUGAAUUUGCAUUUAUUAAAUCAUUUAGUCAUUUGUUUUAAUCUUAUUUUUUUUCCAUUUAUGUUACAUCAUAUUUUGUUUCAUGUUUUUAUUAUAUAUUAUCUCAAAGAUUUUAUUACUUUCUAAUUUUAGGGCGUGCAUUUUAGAAUUAAUAAGAGGGGAUAAUCAAAUUUCAUUUGUUAUUCUUUUAUUUUAUUUUUAUUUCAAUUGCUUAUUUUAAUUUUGUAGCCUCGCUGGACGUAUCAUCUUCAUUUUUUUUUUUAAAUUUUCAGAACACACUCUUACUUGACUAACCGGCAACUGCAUCUUCCUCAUUUCUUUCUCCUUCUCUCAAGAAAUCUGGUCUCUCUAACCUUUCUCUUUUAAGUUGUACUUUCGAUUUAAUCAAUUUCUUUUUCUUUUAACUGCUUGUGCGUUUAUUUAUUUAUUUCUUCACUUUUGCUCUAUUUCUUAUUCUUGAUUUUUUCCAUCUAUCUCUUCUCCUUUUAAGUUCUACUCCUACUUUAAGCAUUUUUGCCAUUUUAUUUAUUUUCUUGUGCAUUGAUUGUUUAAUUAUAUUCUUGUGCAUUGAUUAUUUAGUCAACAACAACAACAACAAGCCUUUAUCCCACUAGGUGGGGUCGGCUACAUGGAUUGCAAGACGCCAUUGUGCUCUAUCAUUUAUCAAGCUCUUAGGAAUAUUAUUAAUUAAGAGAUCGCGUUCAACAACUUCCAAGAGUGUUCUCUUAGGCCUUCCUCUAUCUCUCUUAAUCGGACUCAAAGUUAUAUGUUUCACUCUUCUCACUGGUGCCUCCCUUGGUCUUCUUUGUACAUGCCCAAACCAUCUCAACCGAUUUUCUACCAUUUUUUCCUCAAUAGGUGCCACCCUCACUUUUUCGCGUACGUGUUCAUUUCGAAUUUUAUCUUUUCGUGUAUGUUUGCACAUCCAUCGUAACAUUCUCAUCUCUGCUACUCCAAUUUUAUGCUCUUGCUGUCCCGUUAGAGCCCAGCAUUCAUUACUAUAUAACAUUGCCGGUCUGAUAGCAGUGCGAUAAAACUUUUCUUUAAGUUUAUUAGGCACCUUACGGUCGCAAAUAACUCCUUUAGCUUUUCUCCAAUUGAUUAUUUAGUCAAUUGCUUUUUUUUUAUUAAUGUAUAGAUACCCAAACAAUUAAAAAUUAAAAAAUGAAUAAAUAUCAAGAGAAAUUUGGAUAGAAUAAAAGGUAAGGGUUGUACGAAGCUUACCCGACAAGUUAUUGAUCAGAGAUGCCUUCCAAUGCUUUGAGAACUCUUGCCCUAGCAGCCAAGACUUUUUUCUCCACUCCCUUUCACGUUUUUUUUUCCUUCUGAUUUUUUCCUUUGGAAACUCAUGAAAUUUCACGAUCUAUUUAGUCAUUUUCUGGUCCAUGUGUUACGACGCAUGCAGCGCGUGGCAUAGUGAGGAGAAUCCUCACCAUGUGUGCUUCAAUUCGAAAUGCAAUUCUUCCACCAUAUUUGUCUAUUCAACAUUCAAAGGACACAAAUCAAUAACUAAUCAUUCAAAUUUUUAAUCCUUUACUAAUUAUCAUUUUACCUCUAAUUAAUAACCUAUCAUAGGAUUACAAAAAUCUGGAUGUUACAUAUUACAUAUCACACCAUGAUGUUAUGCAUGAUCUAAUCCAUCCAAAUCUUUAAUAACCUUGACUGAAAACCAAACCUAUAGGUAUCAUAAACCACUUUUUAAUUACAGGUCCCCUUAUUUUAAGAAAUUGGGAGUGUCAUUAUUCCAACUCUACAUUUUACGGAUGAUAAAGAGUAUAAUCUUCAACUCCACACUCAUAUUAAUUUAUGCGUGAUGUUUUUCCUUAAUUUACUACGAAUAUUUUAUUUUGAUACGACAGACAUGCAGAGUCCAAGAAAUUAUUUAUUUAAAUUUAUUAAUAUCAGAGACAAUAUAAGAUUAUUAUAACUAAUUCAAAAGGAGAAGAAAGAAUAAAUUUAAUAAUAACAUGAUAUGAAAGAAUAUCAUGUCAAUUUUUAAUUAUAUAUAGAUAGGGACGUGCUUUAUGAAGAGAUAGAGAGUUGUUAUUUAAAAGGAGAAUGGAUGCAGGAAACGCUAACAUGCUGUUCAAGUUAGAGAGUUGUUCAUGUGGAUAUCAAUAAAAGGAGCGGAUCUACAUUGUCAACUCCUGAGAUCCAAAUUCUUAAAAAAAAGAACACGUCAAAUUCAAAGAAGUAAAAGAUAACUUUUCUAUCCACCUUAACUUAAAUGAGUUUGUUCGAUCCAUAUCUGAUAGUGGAAGAGCUAAGAGAUAUGAUGGUAGACAUAAGGCAAACAAUUCGGGAUCAUGGCAUACAGGUUACCAAAGGAUCAGAUCGUUUCAGAGGGGGUUAAUGCAGAGAAAUGAUGGGGCUAUGAGAAUUAUAUAUGAGACAAGCAUAUUCCAGUACUAAAUUCACCUAAGAUAAUUUCUCAAGAACAGAGAUUCAACCUCUCUAUGGUUUAUCAGUUCUGUCACAUCCUUGGUCUUGAAAUUAGUAAUGGAAGGACCCAGUCGUGUAAUUUGGCAUAAUUUUGAACAUCUUAUGAUAGCAAUUUAUUUGGUUGACCAUCUUGCACUAAACACCAUUUAGUCAUCUCUACUAGAGCAUCAGCCAUUCCUUGUUUACCUCCGGUGCUUCCUCUACCUCCAAUAGGAUUAUUUGAGUUAGACCCCUCCAAUUUCCCCUUGAGAUUUCGAUAUAGAUUACCUAAAUGUGUUGAUUUUCAAAUUUUUGCUGUCGCCUUGGGACGCAUGCAUUUCCCAGAUCCAGGAGGAGGAGGCGGUGGAGGGCCCACUCUACUUCGACCUAGCAUUGGAGGAGGAGGCAUUGCACCAGCUGGUCUAGCCUUCAACCAUGGUGGUGGUGGUGGUGGAGACAGUCCUUUAGCACAAGGCAAGCAAUUUCCUUUCUAGGUAUAGAUGGUUGUGGCAGUGGAGGCAGGGGUGGGGGCAUCACCUUUUUAUGUAUCAAUGGUUGAGGUGGUGGUGGCAGCAGCGGUGAAGGCAUUACAACAACCACAGUUGGCUUUAAGAUAGGUGGUGGUGGUGGUGGUGGAGGAGGAGGCAGUGCUAGAGGUGCAAAUGGAGUGCGAGAUGGUGUAAGAAUUUGGAGAUGGAGGUGGAAGUGGAGGGGAUAACUUAGGCAACUGAAAUGGCUGCAGUAGAAAAGGUGUAUUGUGGGCUGAUUUAAUGUCAAGGUCAAAAACAAAAGAUCUUGCGGCGCAUCAUCUCCAGAAUCGCUGCACAUAUCAUCUAUCUCACCCAUAUCUCUUAUGUCUUGUUGCCAAUGGGAAGAGACAGGUGCUUGACACACGCUUGAACUCUUGCGAGACCACAGAGGGGAGAUAAAAUGAUUGCUGCCCCUCAAGCUGCUAGAGGGAAGAACUGAUUUCGGAGUGGCAGGAGAAGGGCCACCGAAGAAGCUACUCUUUGAGAAGGUAUACGAAUAUGGGGAUUCCAUUCUUAACCAUUUGUUCUUUCCUUGAUCCUCUUCCUCCACACUUGCCAGCUUCAUCAACUAAUCUAGUAUGGCCAACACACACUCUCCUGCAGAAUUAUAUUGAUAACUAAUUCCCCCAAACACCUCAUGAGAAAAUGUUCCAUACUAAUGGAUUUGGGUCCAUAACUAUGGGUUCCAAUGUACGAGAUCUUGUAGCACUUACCAAUGAGGCCCUAUCGAUUAGUAUCAAUUAUAGACACUAAUCUAAUUAGAUCUGCUCUUCAUAGGCAAACUUGGGAUUUGCGAUCCCAUAAUGCCUUCCUCGUCAUUAAUAUGUUUGCUUGCAGUAAUUGUGGCCUCUCGGGAGAAUUGAUGACUGCAUCUUUACAACAACUAAUAUUGCCCGGAGGUUGCUAACUCAUAAUUCAUUUUCUCAUCCAAUCAUUAUUCAUCAUCCACGAUUCUCCCACACACUUCAUAGCCUUGCAGAAGAAGGCCAGGGAUGUAAAAUAUUAUCCAAAUUUUUCCUCAACAACAGUUUUCCGCAACUCCAUAACAGAGUAAAUAUCAAUAAUAUAACCUUAUCUAUUGACUUCCCCUUAAUAUCUAACACUUGAUAUCUUAGAACAAUUGCGGGGUAUUUGUAGAUCGUCUCAUGUUUGGAUAAUAAAGGCAUGCGGCCAUGCUGAAAUAUUCUAUUCUUUGAUUUGGUGCUCAUUGCGACAAUGUGCAAUGUGUUAGUUCAUCAUUUGCAUAAUUUAGAGGUUUAUUUUUGCCAAUUUAUCUAUUGAAAUUUUGGAAAAUGUUACUAGCUAAAUAACUUUUAUAUAACUAAAAAAAAUAAAAUAUAAAUAAAUAAUUUUUUUUUGUAAUUUGAAUGAUUUUUAGAUAACAUUUAUAUUUAAAGUAACUAUCAACUAACGGUUGGGUAGAUGAAAAUGCAAUACUAAAAAUAAAGGAUAUGUAUGUGGUUUGUAACUAUUUAUACUAGUAGAAGUUCCUGUAAUUUAAAAAAUUAGGGAGGAGGCAUCUAUAAUUAAGGUAAAAUAACAUUAGAUGUAACAUCCAAAAGUUAAUUAUUGAAUUAAAUUAUAUUAACCAAUGGUAAUUAGAAGUAAGAAAUAAUAAGAAUGGAUUAAGUGUAAGGUGGAGCAAGAUUUGGGACUUCAGAGUGUAUUUGAGGGAGACUUUCAAUUCUUAGUGUCACCACUAUCUAAUGAAUUAGAGCAACUAGAAUGAAGUGCACUAUCUAAGCCACAAAUGGAAGGAGAAUCAUGAUCAAACAAAGAAAUAGACUCAUCUAAAGAAAAUGUAAAAGUAGACCGGUCUAUGGAGUCUUCAUCACAUGUAGCACCUAAUGGUGACACUAAGCGAAGGUUUUUAAUUAAUUAAAAAUUAUAUGAAUUGAAAAUUGGCCUAGUGAUGGCUAAUAAAUGAUUUUAGUAGUUAAGUGAUACUAGGUGAAUAGUUGAUUUAAUAUAUGGGCCAUUAGGAUGGAUUAUGACCCAUUAACCCAAGUGGUGUGGUAUGAAUAUAGUCUUCAUUAAUGCUAUUUGUCAUGAAAAGUGAUGUGAAUCAUUUAUAUGUUGUAGAAAACUAUUGAUGGAACUUAUUGAGAAGUUAAGAAAUAAGUGAAGUCUUAUUUUUGUACAAAGGAAAAUCCUUUUGGUACAAAAAGGGUUGAGAUAACAGGAGAAUUAUAUUUUCUGUUGUUUUGUUCAACUACUUUUGAAUAAAUAUUACUAGCUAUCAUGCAUUACAUGUUUUAAAUGAUUAAAUGCAAUUAAUUAUAUUUUAUAAAGACUUGUGAGGUACUACUUAGAUAAUAGUAAAUAUAUGUUUUUUAUUAAAAACGAGGUUGUUUACAUGCAUUGUAAUUAUAGAUAAUGGUAGUUGCAGUUAAGGAAGUGUAACUAGAUUAGGUACCUUAGAUAUGCUAAGGAACUGCUUAAGGGAGGAGUGAUAUUUGUUAUACUACCUUGGAGUAUUGAAGUGAUCAAUACUCGGGAAAGGUAGACGAGUGAAAGGCAUGAUCUCGGUGGGAGUUCACCAAUGGAGAGGUGUGUAUUUGUGAUAUUCUAUGGCACACUACUAGUACUCAGUGUUGCCUUUCAUAUUAUGGGCUCAGUACACUAAAGUGGUUAGUGGAUUGAGUGUUCGACACCUCUCAGUAGGGGAGGGAAUCUGACGUAUGAAGUGUGAGGUUGAGUACCUCGGCCAAGGCAGCUCUUACAUGGAAAGUAAGUUGGGCUGAGCUUUGACUACUCAAGAUUCACGUCGAAGGAGCACAGGGGGUUAGGUGAAUUUGAUCAUGUCUUAGAUUACGUUUUAUGUCUAUAGAGGUACGAGUGGGUAUAAGGUUUACUUAUGAGCUAAAGAGUACCAAGGGGUACUCUGUCGGUUAGGAAAGGUCAUACUAGCCUACGUCAUGCAUUUUAAAUGAUUAAAGUAUAUUUUAUGUUUAAUCUAUUAUUCAUUUAUUUAACUAUAACUUACUUUGUAAUAAUAAAUGUAGAUUUCUCUAUUAUUGAGACUGUGGUUGUCUCACUGCUUUCUUUAUAAUAUUUAUAGCUUCAAGCGAAGGAUCCAGUGGUGGAUGGGGAAAGGAGCAAAGUUAGGGGGUGUUUAUAAAUUGUAAACAACUAUAACACCUUUCUUUUGAGUAAAUUUAUUGUAAUGUAUUUAGGAUUAGGGUGCCAGUAGAAUAUGAUUAUAUAUUUGUGUGUGAAUAUGUGUGGAUUGUAUGGCUUUAUAUGAUUUUUUUGUUUGCAUGUAGACUUGUGAUUAGGAACUUGGUUAUGGUGUGUGGUUUUAAUAGAUUUAUUUGGUAGACCAAGUUUCUACUACAAGCUAAUGUUUAUUUUGAUUUAUAUGUGAUUUUACAAGAAAAUGCAAAGUGGUUGCAUUGCAAAUAGUGUGCUAUCGGCAAACAUAUAUCUUGGAUAGGGAAUGGGUGCGUGGGCCCCACGAGGAUCUUUGAACCAAGUGAAAAUGUGUAUUCAUAUGUGUAUAUGGUGUUUGAAAUGGUUUUUGGCCACUCUUGUGUGAUUUAUAAAUUUUGAGGGCUUAGGGUCUAUUUUGAAAAAUGGCAUCUAGGUAGUUAAAUUUUAAUAUAAAGGAUUUUUUUAUCAUUUAAAUAUUCUAUCAGGUACUCCUAGUGCUAUUUGACGUGUCUAAAGUGUUCUCACGGGUUUGUAACUAUUAGGAUGAGAUUUGGACAAUUUUGAAAAUAAUUUUUAUCAAAAAGCUGCACUUUUACGUCUGGAUGUCCAAAUUUCAAUCUGACUGUUGGAUUUUCUGAAAAUUUGGGUCACAAGUAAAACUUUUAUAAUCUUCACAUGAGCUUUGAAAUCACCUCGAUCAAACAUCGUACAGAGAAAUGGUGCACUCUGAAAGUUAGUCCGGAAGUGUGAUAGCAAAAUUGCCAAAGUUACGGCAUGCAUGAAUUUCAAUCCAUUAGUUGGAUCUUUUCAAAAUUUGGUAUGCUAGUAAUAAUUUUUAAAAGUGACAUGUGGACUCUAGAAUUGUUCCGAUUAGAGGUCGGAUGAUGAAAUGGUGCACUCCAAAAGUUAGUUUAAAAAUGCUAUCAUGACAGCAACUUUGUCCAAUCUUGUAAAGUAUUCAAAUUCUUAUUCGAUCGUUAGUUUUUUGAAAUUUGGUACACUACUAGUAAUUAUUAAAAUUGAUGUGUGAGCUUUAAAAUUACUUUGAUCAGAUAUUUAAUGGUGGAAUGGAACCUCUCAAAAGUUGGCCUGAGACGGCUGUUAUGACAGUAAUUUGAUGUUGUUAUGACAGAAUUUUUUUACCCUACUUUCGCCUAGCUUGCUUCUCUGCACUAUAGAUAGAACCUAUAAAUUUUUCUAAAAGUUUUAAAUGUUUAUUUUGUGAUGGUGUAUUUGUUUAGUGAUUUAAAUGAUUUGUUUUCUAAGUUGGUUUUAGAAUCAACUCCUUAACCACACUUAGUUUAUUUGAAUUGUGUGAUUUUUAGAUAACACUCGAAGAAAGUAUUACACUUAUCACUUCCACCCUCUUGAAUAGGGAUAAUUUGAGUAUUUUUGGCUUGAGUCAUCUCUUGAUAUCUCUAUAACUGAAAUUUGGAUGUUGUCUUCAACUUAGGUUGUAAGUGCUUUCAUAAUUAGCCUCAAAGUUAUUUCUGCCCCCUUGAUUAUUUUUAAAGUUGUAGGGCCUUUGUGGUUGAUAAAUAGCCCCAACCUAUCAACUUCCAUAGGUAUACAUGCAAUUAGAAGUAACAUGCAUGGUAGAGUUGGAUAUGCCACAUUGCUUUAGACAUAGAAGAGACUUGAGAAUGUAAAGGAUUGGCAAUAGACAUCUUGAGAAAGUUAAGUUGAAAGUAGAUGUCUUCCAAUUGAGAAUUAGGAAUGGAAGCUUGACACACAUGGUGAACACCUCUCGCAUUAUCCCUUGAGCUAUAUUGUUGAUUGUUAUUUGCUAAUUUCUCUAAAGCCCAAGCAUCAUUCGGUGGAAGGUCAAGCAAAGAGCCAUUUGUAGCAGCAUCUAUGGUCUCCCUAUCAUGUAUUUGAAGGCCUACAUGGAAGUAAUCAACUAGAAAUUCGUUGCCCACAUUGAGAUAUGGACACCUAGCAAGAAACUCUAAGAAUCUCAUCCAAUAUUCAUAAAGACACUCUUGAGGCAUUUGUUGAAUUCCCAUGAUUUCGUUCCUUAAUUGCAAAUACUUGGUUGCUGGAAAAUACUUCUCAAAGAAACAAUUUCUCAUUUCAGGCCAAGAGUUGAUGGUUCUAGUUGCAAGAGUAUUGAACCAUGUAAUAGCCUUGUCUUCAAAUGUGAAUAAAAUUUUUAGCAUAAGAUUCUCCAAGUUUGCUGUAGGUGGCUUCAUUGUUGAGCAAACCCUCUCAAGAAUUUGGAGAUGCCUACCUGCAAGACCAUGGAAUUUAGGUAAGGCAUUAAUCAAUGAAGGUUUAAUCUCAUAUUCAUUUUGCUCUUGCAAAUUUAAAUAUGAGCCACUAGCUCUAAGUGCCACCAUUUCUCUAAAGCUUUUCCUAACAAGUAUAUCAUGGUUAUUAGCAUGCAAGUGUUCAGCCAUACUAUCUACACUCACAAAAUUAUCAACAAUGGUGUUUGAAAUUGAAGAAGAUGCUAAGAACUCAAGAUAUUGGCCUCUAAAUUGAAUAUAUUCUCUAAGUCCUUUACAGGUUCUAAAAGACAUAUACAGCUUAAAACACCAUAGAAAUGAUACUGGAAGAAAGAAAAAUCAAAUAAACAAAAUUAAGCAUAAUCUGAAAAAAACGACAGAAAGCAAACACACUGGAGCAAUAUUUUUGUGGAAUUUUUUCAAAAUUGAAAAUGAAAAUUGAAGAAGAUGCUAAGAACUCAAGAUAUUGGCCUCUAAAUUGAAUAUAUUCUCUAAGUCCUUUACAGGUUCUAAAAGACAUAUACAGCUUAAAACACCAUAGAAAUGAUACUGGAAGAAAGAAAAAUCAAAUAAACAAAAUUAAGCAUAAUCUGAAAAAAACGACAGAAAGCAAACACACUGGAGCAAUAUUUUUGUGGAAUUUUUUCAAAAUUGAAAAUGAAAAAAUUAGAAAAACAUCAAAAUUGAAAAAAUGAAGCUAAGAUACUGAAAUUAACACAAGAUUUUUUUUUUUAAAACUUUACAAGUAGGGAAUAAGAUAUGUUCAUCCAAAUUCGGCCCUGUCUUCUUAGAGGACUUUUGUGUGCUUUUUGGAUGCACAACUCUCUAGUCCAAACUUAGAUUGCUCUAAAUUUUUUUUAUCUAAAAUCACUAACACAGUGAAGGUUAUACAAGUCAACUUUUAGGAAAAAAAUUUUCGAGUCAAUCCUUCCCAAUAUUGUUUCAAAUUUAGGUUUGUAGCACUGGAAAUUUUAAUGAAUCCUGUUUCACUAAUACAAAUAUUCAACCAAUUUAAUGGCUGAAUUAGCAAAUGUGUUCACAAGCAAAGUUAAUCCUAAGAUACUCAGGAACAUAAUGAAUGAAGAAUAAGCUCAAAACAAUGAGUAUAGUGAAAAUUAUACCUAUUCAAAAUUCAUGCACAAAUUCUGGUAGGAUGAUUUCCAUAGCUUGCAAGCAAUUGAGCUCUACUUGGCAUAUUUGUAACCCACAUCCAGAAUUAAUGUUGUAAUGAAAAAAAAUCUAGUAGCAACUUGACCAAAGAGAUGAUCAAAUGCUCAAUUAAAUGUUCUAGCCACUACCAACACUAAAUUGCAGAAUUAACAAAAAUGCAUAAAAUGGAAAUUGAAACAAAAAUCAAUAUGGCUAAUUGCUCCCUGAUAACGGUGCCAAUUGAUGUAACCUUAAUCACUUAAGGCCAUUAAAUAAAACUAGAAUGUAAUCAUGAGCAUUCUAGGUCAUCUCCCUAGAGAGCAAUGUACACAAAUUCUUAGUUCAAAUGCCAACAAAUUAAAAGAAUAUGAGAGUGAUUAAUUUAAUGAAAAAAGUCUAACUGAUAUGGAUCUAACUCAUCUAACUCACAUGAACAAACUCUAAAACAUCAAGUCAAUCUAUGAAUUCCAAAACUGAACACAACAUUACAAUCUCAAUUCAACAUCCAUAAUCUCAAUUAAACAUGAAUUAGAAUCAUAAAAAUCCCUAACCUAAAUAGAUUACAGAUUUUGAAAUUCUCAAGAAAUAAUAAGAAACUAUGAAAUUGAGAAAGCAAAUGAAGAACACAAAUCUGAAAAACUCAAAAUGCUAAGUCAUCUUUCUUGGAGCUCAAUGUUGUUCAACUACUCGUGCUCCUCUCCUUCACUUGGAUGAGAUUUUGAGCUUGAGAAGCCUCUAUGAAUGUAUGAAUGAUGAAGAAAUAUGAAUUUGGAAGUGGCUUAAAUGCUGGACGAAAAAAUGUGCUGAAGGAAGAAGAAGAGAUAGACGAAAUUGGAAUGGGGAUAUGAUGAAGAUCUGGAAAAAUUGAAGCUAAGUAAGAGGAAGAAAUCUGGAAAAUCUGGAAUGGAAGAAGAUGUGUUGCUGGGAAGAUGAGAGAAUCUGGAAACAAAUAUGGCUGAAGAGUGAGAGAGGAAUUUGAAAUUAUGAGCUCAAAAGAAAUAGAAAUUUAGUAUGUGGAAAUUAUGAGAGUGGGUGAUAAAACCAAAGUUAGAGGGUGAUAAAAUCAAAGCUCCAGAUCUGAAAUUGGCUAAUUAUCCAGCUGGAAAAUGAAUAAUUGUGAGCAAAACAAUUCUAGAAAAAUGAAGAAUAACAGGCGCCUAAUGUAGCUCAUAAUGGAGCGUGGGAAAAUGUGAUUGAAGUGUAGAAAAUGUGACUCUCUUUGACUUGUCUUCAGCUGCCACAUAAGCAUCUGUAUAUUCAUGAGUCACGCGCAAGAUGCUUCUCCUUUGCCUUAUGAUAAUGCCAUCGAAUGCUCUCUAUACUCCCCAUAUUUUUAUUUAAUUAAUUAAUUUAUGAAAAUCCAUGCCAAUUCGGCUUCUUUCAUUCUUCAUUUGUGACGCCACCUCAUCCCUUCUUCUCUUGCUCUUGACUUCUUUCAAAAAUGUUGACUUGCUUGUUGAUUUCAAAUUUGCCCUUACAAAAAAUUUAAAAAUAAAAGACACAAGACUAAAUAAAUCCUAGAAAGAGAGUUAACAAGGAAGAAAAGACAAUUAAAGCCCAAGAUCUCAAUUAAAGGUUUGAAAGUAUCAAAACAAUCAUCAAAUAGUCACAUUAGGGUUCAUAUAAUCAAUAUGGAAAAGGCAACACAAAACUAAAAAUAAAACCCUAAUAUGCAUAAUUUGAUGUAAAAAACUAAGUGUUUUAGUAUGUAAAGCAUGUCAUAUAUCAAUAUCGGACAACGAAAUGGUGUACGUUGGUAGUUGGACUUCCAAAGCUACCAUGACCACUUGUGUUAUCAUGACUGUGUUGUGUGCCGUGGAGUACAAUGCUUGUGCCAUGCUGGACAAGUCAGAACCUUGUAGAAAAUUGUUGUUUUGCCUAGUUCUAAUUUAUUAUUCCUAAUUUGGUCGUUUUGCCUCUUGAUUACAUUUAACUUUGAUUUUAAACUUAUGUUGAGCUCAACUAAUGCUUCGAGAUGUGUUUUGGAAUCCCAAUUCUUUAAAAAAUGAUUUCUAUAUUUGAUCAAUCACAUAUUUUACAUACUAAAAAAUUUGUUUUUUUGACAUUAAAUUGUGCAUAUUAGGGUUUUAUUUUUGGUUUUAAGUUGUCUUUUCUAUAGUGAUCAUGUAAACUCUAAUGUUGCUAUUUAAUGAUUGUUCUGACACUUCUAAACUCUAAUUAAAUAUCUUGGGCAUUAAUUCCCUUUUCUCCCUUUUUAAUUCUCUUUUUAGGAUUUUUUAGUCUUGUGUCUUUUAUUUUUAAAUUUUGUGAGGGAAAAUUUAGAAUCAACAAGCAAAGACUAAGUCAACAUUUUUGGAAGAAAUCAAGAGCAAGGGAGAUGAGGUGAUGGCGCCAUUUUCAGAUUUAAUUGAGGAAGAAAUAAUUAAAUAAAUAGACAGGGAGCAUGGGAAGCAUUGGAUUACAUCAUCAUCAAGUGAAGAAUGAGCGUUUUGUGCGUGACAUUGAAGCUGAAUUGAGGAAGCUUGGGUGGCAUCUGAUUAGAAGCUGAGUGAGUCAAAUUUCUCAUACCUUAAUCACAUGUUCCAUGCUCCCAUUUCCAACUCAUUUCAGACACAUUUUUAAUUCAAUUUCCAGCAAAUUAAUUUCAUUUUCCAGCUAGAAAUUCAAGCCAUUUAGAUCUGGAUUUUGCAUUGUUAUUAUCACCAUCCAUUUUGGUUUUAUCACCUUCACAUUUUUCAGACCUAUAGAAGCCUUUUAUUUUCAUUUCAGCUUCAUUAGUCAUCUCUCCAGAUUUUCUCUCUUCAUUCCCUCUCAAAAUUCGUCCAUCUUCAUCCCUCAUUUUUCCAGAUUUCAUUUUCUCAUCUCUUAGCUUCAUCUUGUCCGGAUCUGCCUUCUUCCAUUCUCCUCCAGAUCACGCCACUUCAUCUUCUUCUUCCAUCCAGAUUUGCGUCCAGAUCAUCUCUAGCCUCAAGUCCAGAAUUUCGUCCAUUAUUCUCCAUGGUCCAGAUUCAGAGUUCUUUAUCCAGCUACAUUCUCUUCUUCUACAUUCCAUUUUCAUCCAGAUUAUUUCUUCUUUUAGCUCCAGAAUUUCGUCCAACAGCACAGCCUCAUUUCCAGCUUCAUUUCUUCAUCAUCCAUGGAAGCCUCUCAAGCUCAAGAUCUCAUCCAAGUGAAGUAGAGAACCAUGAAUGGCUGAACAACAUUGAGCUCCAAUGAAGAUGACUUAGCAUUUUGAGUUUUUCAUAUUUGUAUUCCUCAUUUUUUUUCCUUAAUUUCAUGAUUUCUUCUUGUUUCUUGUGGAUUUCUAAAUUUGUAAUCUGAUUAAUUGUGGAUUUUGAUUCCAAAUUCAUGUUUAGUUGAGAUUAUGGGUGUUGAAUUUAAGUUUGAUAAUGUGUUUCAGCACUGGAAUUCAUGCACUCAUUUGAGUGUUCUUAA